GGUCACUCCCUGCACCUGUCCUCAGUCCCUGAGGCCAGGGACAGCCCACAGUCCCUCACAGAUGAGUCCUGCUCGGAGAAGGCAGCCCCCCACAAGACUGAGGGCCUGGAGGAGGCUGACACUGGGGCCUCUGGGUGCCAAUCCCAUCCGGAAGAGCAGCCGACCAGCAUCUUGCCUUCUGGACACAGCACCCUGGCUGAGCUCUGCCCGCCUGGAGGCUCCCACAGGAUGGCCCUGGGGACUGCUGCUGCACUCGGGUCGAAUGUCAUCAGGAAUGAGCAGCUGCCCCUGCAGUACUUGGCCGAUGUGGACACCUCUGAUGAGGAAAGCAUCCGGGCUCACGUGAUGGCCUCCCACCAUUCCAAGCGGAGAGGCCGGGCGUCUUCUGAGAGUCAGAUCUUUGAGCUGAAUAAGCGUAUUUCAGCUGUGGAAUGCCUGCUGACCUACCUGGAGAACACAGUUGUGCCUCCCUUGGCCAAGGCUGAACGUCACUCCCGAUCUUUCCACCGAGGGCCUCUGUGAUUUGGGGGCUUUGUCAGGAAAGUGGAGCCUCAUGGAAAAGCAUACUGGCUAAAACACGUGGCUUCUUCAUCGACUCAAUCUAAUCAUCCCCUUGGUGUUCGUCUGUGAGACCCCAGGCAGCCAGCCCUGUCGAUCUGUCUCAAUAGUCUUCGUCCAAAUAGAAAAUUAAAUGAUCAUGUGCAAUA
This 707-nucleotide small RNA is filed under the name Pan troglodytes (chimpanzee). RNAcentral describes it as "processed transcript". The record is from RNAcentral. Lineage: Eukaryota; Metazoa; Chordata; Mammalia; Primates; Hominidae.